This 500-nucleotide ribosomal RNA is filed under the name uncultured bacterium. Its description in RNAcentral is "bacterial SSU rRNA". It matches the Rfam family "Bacterial small subunit ribosomal RNA", at positions 8 to 498 of the family's 1533-position model. The record is from RNAcentral.
AGAGUUUGAUCCUGGCUCAGAUUGAACGCUGGCGGCAUGCUUUACACAUGCAAGUCGAACGGCAGCACGGGGGGGUAAUCCUCUGGUGGCGAGUGGCGAACGGGUGAGUAAUGCAUCGGAACGCGUCCUGUAAUGGGGGAUAACCUGGCGAAAGUCAGGCUAAUACCGCAUACGUCCUGAGGGAGAAAGCGGGGGAUUGGCAACGACCUCGUGUUAUAGGAGCGGCCGAUGUCGGAUUAGCUAGUUGGUGGGGUAAAGGCCUACCAAGGCGACGAUCCGUAGCGGGUCUGAGAGGACGGCCCGCCACACUGGGACUGAGACACGGUCCAGACUCCUACGGGAGACAGCAGUGGGGAAUCUUGCGCAAUGGGCGAAAGCCUGACGCAGCGACGCCGCGUGAGCGAUGAAGGCCUUCGGGUUGUAAAGCUCUGUGGGGAGAGAAGAAUAAGGGUUGGCUAACAUCCAACCUGAUGACGGUAUCUCCUUAGCAAGCACCGGCU